Molecule: long non-coding RNA, 569 nt
Organism: Nyctereutes procyonoides (raccoon dog)
Lineage: Eukaryota; Metazoa; Chordata; Mammalia; Carnivora; Canidae
Exons: 2
Source: RefSeq, a predicted model, not a curated record
GGGAUUUUUACUUCCUAGAGGAAAGAGAGCGGUGGCUGGAGGCUGGUCUGCAUUUGUAAAACAACGUGACAACGUAGGGAAAGACACCACCAUUCCUGCCCUGCGAUGCCCUUGCGUUUCUUUGUACUUCACACUGUGGACAGUAGAAGCAGGAGCCAAGGGGUGAAUUUAAUUUGGAACAGACCUCUGUCUUGGUGGAACCGCCUCGAACACAGCAACCUGCAGCUUCCUGAGGCCGGGCCUCAGCCGGGGCUCUCACAGGCUCCAGAAACGAAGUCCAACCUCCACGCGUGUCAGAGCCCACCCAGCUGCCACCACCAGCCACAGUGGUGUGGGCUCCCGAGGCAGCCGGGGAGCGACACUUCUCUCCCUGAUGUAAUCAAACUGAGUGCACGGAUAUCACUUGAUUAACAGCUGCAGUAUUAAUUUCCCUUUUUGGUUGCUUGACUCACAGCGAGAAUCAUGUCAAGGCAGCAGAGAAGCAAUUAAAUUGAUUUUAAUCUUUGUCAGAGAAGAUAACAUGCCUCUUUCUCUUCUCAUUUAAAUAAUUAAAGUUUCAGUAGGUAUUA